Non-coding RNA from Beta vulgaris subsp. vulgaris (sugar beet), 232 nucleotides. Lineage: Eukaryota; Viridiplantae; Streptophyta; Magnoliopsida; Caryophyllales; Amaranthaceae. The record is from Rfam.
GUUGCGGUGGUCUCUGAUUCGCUUGGUGCAGGUCGGGAACUGGUUAUCGUUUUUUUUUUCUGAUUACUUCCGCCGCCAUUGGAGCAGCAGCAGUAAUCUUCGGAGAGAUAAUUAUUUUUUUCUUAUUUUUUUAUUUUUUUGGAAUUUUUUUUUAGAAAAUAUCUCUCUUCUGCUCAGUCGGUGGAUUACCGGAUCCCGCCUUGCAUCAACUGAAUCGGAGGCUGCGGUGAAC